This 450-nucleotide ribosomal RNA is filed under the name uncultured bacterium. Its description in RNAcentral is "bacterial SSU rRNA". It matches the Rfam family "Bacterial small subunit ribosomal RNA", at positions 354 to 796 of the family's 1533-position model. The record is from RNAcentral.
GUAGGGAAUAUUGGACAAUGGGGGAAACCCUGAUCCAGCAAUGCCGCGUGGGUGAAGAAGGCCUGCGGGUUGUAAAGCCCUUUUGGUAGGGAAGAAAAGCCUGGGAUUAAUACUUCCGGGUAUUGACGUAACCUACAGAAGAAGCACCGGCUAACUCUGUGCCAGCAGCCGCGGUAAUACAGAGGGUGCAAGCGUUAAUCGGAAUUACUGGGCGUAAAGCGUGCGUAGGUGGCUGUGUAAGUCGGAUGUGAAAUCCCUGGGCUUAACCUAGGAACUGCAUUCGAUACUGCAUGGCUAGAGUACGGUAGAGGAUAGCGGAAUUCCCGGUGUAGCAGUGAAAUGCGUAGAUAUCGGGAGGAACACCAGUGGCGAAGGCGGCUAUCUGGACUGAUACUGACACUAAGGCACGAAAGCGUGGGGAGCAAACAGGAUUAGAAACCCCUGUAGUCC